Molecule: ribosomal RNA, 403 nt
Filed under: uncultured bacterium
Lineage: Bacteria
Description: bacterial SSU rRNA
Rfam family: Bacterial small subunit ribosomal RNA
Source: RNAcentral
UAGGGAAUAUUAGAAGUGGACGAAAGUCUGAUCUAGCAACACCGCGUGUGCGAUGAAGGCCUUCGGGUUGUAAAGCACUUUUUGGAAGGAUUAGGAAGGAAUGUACUUCCAGAAUAAGUCUCGGCUAACUACGUGCCACCAGCCGCGGUAACACGUAGGAGGCGAACGUUAUCCGGAUUUACUGGGCGUAAAGCGCGUGUAGGUGGUUCUGUAAGUAGGGCGUGAAAGCUCCUGGCUCAACUGGGAGAGGCCGUUCUAAACUGCAGAGCUAGAGGAUGGUAGAGGGAGGUGGAAUUCCGGGUGUAGCGGUGGAAUGCGCAGAUAUCCGGAGGAACACCAGUGGCGAAGGCGGCCUCCUGGACCAUUCCUGACACUCUGACGCGAAAGCUAGGGUAGCAAACGG